This 258-nucleotide ribosomal RNA is filed under the name Paraphysomonas bandaiensis. RNAcentral's name for it is "partial Bacterial large subunit ribosomal RNA". It matches the Rfam family "Bacterial large subunit ribosomal RNA", at positions 1422 to 1680 of the family's 2925-position model. The record is from RNAcentral. Lineage: Eukaryota; Chrysophyceae; Chromulinales; Paraphysomonadaceae.
GAAACAGGUUAAUAUUCCUGUACUCGUGCAUAUUGCGAUGGAGAGACGGAGAAGGCUAGGCCAGCACAGCGAUGGUUGUCUGUGUUUAAGGCGGUAGGUUUAGGGCUUAGGCAAAUCCGGGCCCUUUUAAGACCGAGAACUGAUGACGAGCCCUCUUUUGGGCGAAGUGGUUGAUGCCAUGCUUCCAGGAAAAACUUCUAAGCUUCAGAUAUGCAGGAACCGUACCCCAAACCGACACAGGUGGGCGAGGAGAGUAUC